Molecule: ribosomal RNA, 374 nt
Filed under: uncultured bacterium
Lineage: Bacteria
Description: bacterial SSU rRNA
Rfam family: Bacterial small subunit ribosomal RNA
Source: RNAcentral
UACGAGGGGGGCGAGCGUUGUUCGGAAUCACUGGGCGUAAAGCGUGCGUAGGCGGUCUUGAAAGUUAGGAGUGAAAGCCCCAGGCUCAACUUGGGAAUUGCUCUUAAUACUACAAGACUCGAAUCUCGGAGAGGAUAGCGGAAUUGUCAGUGUAGCAGUGAAAUGCGUAGAUAUUGACAGGAACACCAGUGGCGUAAGCGGCUAUCUGGACGAGUAUUGACGCUGAGGCACGAAAGCGUGGGGAUCAAACAGGAUUAGAUACCCUGGUAGUCCACGCCGUAAACGAUGUGUGCUUGUCGCUGGAAGGUUCACCUUUCGGUGACGGAGCUAACGCGUUAAGCACACCGCCUGGGAAGUACGGUCGCAAGAUUAAA